AUGAGCAGCUUCUGCUCCUUCUCCUCCUUGGACCGCUUAAAACUGACGAGGGUGCCACAGGCUGGGGCCCCCGCACCUCCUGGUGGGGCCAGCACAGCUGCCCAGCAGGUCUCUGCCUCCCCUAGUGAGGCACUGGCCCCAGUCUUGACUCUGCACAGUGUCCUCAAACUCAGCCUCUGCAGGGUUCCCUGUCACCUUACAGACAUAUGUCCACCCAGGUCCCGGUGCCGGCCGCAUGGCCCCUGUCCACUAUCCACCUCUUCAGCCCCUCCUCACCUCAUCCCUCCCUGUCUCCCCCUCUCUGUCACACUCCCGGACGCUCAACAUCCAGCCUAGCCUGGUACCUCUGCCACCUGCUGUGAGGGCUGUGCCAUCCUGCCCAGCUGCCCCACAGGGGCCUUUCUAGAGCCCCAGCCAGGCCGUUGGCCUCCCUCUGCUCCCCAGCUCUGCACCACCUCCUGGAGGCCACCUGUGACCUAUCUUGCCUGCUGGAUGGGAACUCCCUGUGGGCAGGGACAGAUGGUGGCCCGCAGCUCGCUGUUGAAAAGCAACAGUACGUCCUUCUCGCGGGCCUCGUCACUCAGCGCCCGGCGGGCCUCCUGGGCCUCCCUGUGCAGCCCCUCCCGGCUCUCCUCGACGCCCUGCAGCUCCUGGCGCAGUGCGGCCAGUCCCUCCUGGGCCACGGUCAGCUGUGCCCGCAGCCUCUCAGCCUGGGGAGGACCAUUCAGCUCUAGAGGCCCGCUGGGGACCACUGCUCCAGGGAUAGCCACAGGGGCCUGUGGCCUCUGACAUGGUGUGGCAGGCACAGGUGCCCUGCCCAACUUGGUCCCCAUGCGCUUUGCUCACCCCAUGGAGCCACCAAUCCCUAGUGCUGCGGAGGCUGCAGGGCGGCUUCCACGGGCUGAGGCAGGGCCAGCCUAAGAGCCCAGAAGACCCCACCUUGAGCCCCUGGGCCCGGCCCCACGCUGCGGCCUCUCUGGACCCCCAGGACGCUGACCACUGCCGCUAGGUCCUGGAGGCUCUCGCGUAGGGCCGUGGUCUCCCUCUGAUGGGCUGUGAUGGCAUCCUCAAACUGGGCCUGGAGGGCCUUCAGCUCCUCAGUCGUGGCACUGAUGGUGGCCUGCGGGGAGAAGGGAGCCCACGGUGGCACCAGGGAGCUGGGCCCAGCAGUGGAGGGUGAGGCUGCUGGGAUGAGGAGACAUCCACGGCCCCUGACAGCUGUGAUGUCGCCCUCUCCCGCUGCGCAGUGCCCUGGGGAUGGGGCACAAGCCCUCCAUCCCGGCUCCGAGUCACCGAGCGUCCCCCAAGGCCCCGCUGCCUGGACGCCCCGGCCCCCCAGCAGGCGGCCUGCGCGUGCCUCUGUGCAGUCAGUGAGAAGGGCUCCCGUUCAGAAUGGGCAGAGAAGGGGGCUGCCUCCCGCGCCUGGCACCAUGGCCUGUGUUCUGUUCACUGCACACUGAACCAUACAUUCAACGCCAGUCAGGACUCAAUGUGGGUGUCCUUUCCUGCCGAGAGUUUCCUCUGGUGCAGGGCCAGCCGCCUCGGGUUGUUUCUCCUUUGGAAGGAUCUCUCUGGGACAGGGCCUGAACAGGACGGGGUAUGCUUGUGAGAAAGUUGGGGAGUCUCGGGGGAGGGAAGAGGCCCCCCUCUAAGGAGAGGCUGUGGCAGAAUGCUGAGUGCAGAGGCUCCCCUGGACACAGCACGUUCAUGUUCCUGUCUGCACAUCCCUGCCACUGGGGAGGAGGGGCAGCUCCUACAGAGGCAGCCCUGGGCCCUGGGCCCUUUCACCCUCUGAGCGCCUGCCCUCUGUCCGACAUCGUCCCACCUCUGUGUCUGCACUUGGGCACGUCCCUGGGGUAUCCUCCCCUUCCUCUGCCUGUCUAAAAUCCUGCCCUUUCCCAUGCAGUUUGGGGGCCUUCAUGAGCCACCCCCAUCCCUCUAGGCAACACUUGAUGCAGUGCAGAGAAGAAAGCUUAAAAGCCCGAAAAUGCUCCAUCUCCCUGAUGGUGUGGGAGAUGCGUGUGAGCGAGACACCCUCAGCUCCAAGGGUGGCACGCUGCUCCGUGGACCAGGCUGUGGAAGCAAUGCCUGUCAAAUCCACACAUGUAUAUUCUCUCUAUGCCCAGGCCCAUCUGGGGGAGGGCAGCCCAGAGACACGUGUGCACCUGUGUGGGCUGACCUAUGCGCAGUGUCACCAAUGUCUGUGACAUUGCUGUAAUGGCAACAAAGCUGGAGGCAACCCAGAUGCCCGUGGAAGGAAGAACAGCCACAGGAAGACCCAGUUCUGGCAGCUCAGCAUGCAGCCCAGAAACAGAAGAACAAAGCUGCAGAUACACAGCUGGGAAAGGCCACCGAGAUGCUUUGAUAAGUGAGAAGAGGAAAGCCCAGGAGCCGGCAUAGACUUUUCAUUCCUUUUGUAUUAAAAAUGCAGUGUUGGGGAGGUAACGCUGUAUAUUUCUGUUUGCAAGCAAUCUUUGGAGGGUGUUGCAUAACAGAAGAUGUAUCAGGUCUUUGUCCUGGAUCCUCGGAGGAAGCUUCUAAACCCUGGGGGUUUCUCAGAAGUGUGGAGCGUCUGCAUUAGUCCUGGCGGGCCCCUGGGACCACACCUGAGUUUAUGCUAAUGAGGUGACUCAGGGUGGGUUCCUACUGAAUUUCAGGAUGGGGACUGUCUGCUGAAAGACCCGUUAUUAGAGGGUUGGGGCUUUGAGCCACGGGAUGUCAGCCCAACCUCCCAGCAGUCAGAGAAGUGGGCUUCAAUCACCUAACCAAUCACUCCACCGAUCACGUUACACAGUGAAACCCCAAUAAAACUCUGGACACCAAAAUGCAGUGGAGCCUCCUGGCUGCUGAGCACACUGGGGUGCAGGAGGGUGCUGGGCUGGCUCACGGGGAGGGUGCAGCAGCCCCUGUCUGUGACGUGCCCACACCUUGCCUGUGUGUCUCCUCUUCUGGCUGGUCUUGAAUUCCAUGUUUGAUAAUGAAUCUCUAAGAGUAACAGGAGGCUUUCCUGAGUUCUGUGAGUCAUUCUAGUGAAUGGCUGAACCUGAGAGAAUCAUGGGAACCCCCACACUUGUAGUCAGGUGGUCAGAAGUGUGGGUGGCCUGGAGACCCC
Molecule: long non-coding RNA, 3112 nt
Filed under: Homo sapiens (human)
Lineage: Eukaryota; Metazoa; Chordata; Mammalia; Primates; Hominidae
Description: HSALNT0309811
Source: RNAcentral